GACGGAGGAUGCAAGCGUUAUCCGGAAUUAUUGGGCGUAAAGCGUCCGCAGGUGGCUGUUCAAGUCUGCUGUCAAAGCGCAGAGCUUAACUCUGUACAGGCGGUGGAAACUGAAGAGCUAGAGUAUGGUAGGGGUAGAGGGAAUUCCCGGUGUAGCGGUGAAAUGCGUAGAUAUCGGGAAGAACACCAGUGGCGAAAGCGCUCUACUGGGCCAUAACUGACACUGAUGCGCGACAGCAUGGGGAGCAAACAGG
Molecule: ribosomal RNA, 253 nt
Filed under: uncultured bacterium
Lineage: Bacteria
Description: partial 16S ribosomal RNA
Rfam family: Bacterial small subunit ribosomal RNA
Source: RNAcentral